CAGCAGCCGCGGGAAUACGAGGGGGGCAAGCGUUGUUCGGAUUUAUUGGGCGUAAAGGGUGCGUAGGCGGUUUGGCAAGUCUUGUGUGAAAUCUUCGGGCUCAACCCGAAGCCUGCACGAGAAACUACCGGGCUUGAGUAUUGGAGAGGUGAGUGGAAUUUCCGGUGUAGCGGUGAAGUGCGUAGAUAUCGGAAGGAACACCUGUGGCGAAAGCGGCUCACUGGACAAUAACUGACGCUGAUGCACGAAAGCUAGGGGAGCAAACAGGAUUAGAUACCCCUGUAGUCCCUGUCUCUUAUAA
Molecule: ribosomal RNA, 301 nt
Filed under: uncultured bacterium
Lineage: Bacteria
Description: partial 16S ribosomal RNA
Rfam family: Bacterial small subunit ribosomal RNA
Source: RNAcentral